This 72-nucleotide transfer RNA is filed under the name Perkinsus olseni. RNAcentral describes it as "tRNA-Trp". It matches the Rfam family "tRNA". From Rfam's summary of the family: Transfer RNA (tRNA) molecules are approximately 80 nucleotides in length. Their secondary structure includes four short double-helical elements and three loops (D, anti-codon, and T loops). The record is from RNAcentral. Lineage: Eukaryota; Perkinsozoa; Perkinsida; Perkinsidae.
GGCCCUGUGACCCAACGGUAGCGCAUCUGACUCCAGAUUAGAAGGUUGACCGUUCGAAUCGGGCCGGGGUCA